Pelobates cultripes (western spadefoot toad) is the source of this 203-nucleotide non-coding RNA. The record is from the annotation of a GenBank genome assembly. NCBI's taxonomy places the organism in Eukaryota, Metazoa, Chordata, Amphibia, Anura, Pelobatidae.
ACUCAAUGCACCCCUUACACACAUUCAAUGCAUCCCAUACAUACACAGAAACACACCUUGCAGCCCUUACACAUACAAACACAGUUUCACACAAUGCAUUCCUUACACACAUAUCAGGACAUCCCCUACACACUCCACCCCCUGUGAACAAACUCAUUGGUGGAACAUGAAGGUGGACCCUGGGACCCAGACCUUGAGCUGUG